This 515-nucleotide ribosomal RNA is filed under the name uncultured bacterium. RNAcentral describes it as "partial 16S ribosomal RNA". It matches the Rfam family "Bacterial small subunit ribosomal RNA", at positions 28 to 523 of the family's 1533-position model. The record is from RNAcentral.
GACGAACGCUGGCGGCGUGCCUAAUACAUGCAAGUCGAGCGGACUUUCAAGAAGCUUGCUUUUUGAAAGUUAGCGGCGGACGGGUGAGUAACACGUGGGCAACCUGCCUGUAAGACGGGGAUAACUCCGGGAAACCGGGGCCAAUACCGGAUAAUAUCUUUCUUCGCAUGAAGGAAGGUUGAAAGGCGGCGCAAGCUGCCGCUUGCAGAUGGGCCCGCGGCGCCUUAGCUAGUUGGUGAGGUAACGGCUCACCAAGGCGACGAUGCGUAGGCUACCUGAGAGGGGGAUCGGCGACACUGGGAGUGAGACACGGCCCAGACUCCUACGGGAGGCAGCAGUAGGGAAUCUUCCGCAAGGGGCGAAAGUCUGACGGAGCAACGCCGCGUGAGCGAAGAAGGUCUUCGGAUCGUAAAGCUCUGUUGUCAGGGAAGAACAAGUACCGUUCGAAUAGGGCGGUACCUUGUCGGUACCUGACCAGAAAGCCACGGCUAACUACGUGCCAGCCGCCGCCGUAA